CCCUACGGGGCGCAGCAGUGGGGAAUAUUGCCCAAUGGGGGAAACCCUGAUGCAGCAACGCCGCGUGAAGGAAGACGGUUUUCGGAUUGUAAACUUCUGUUCUUAGUGAAGAAGAAUGACGGUAGCUAAGGAGCAAGCCACGGCUAACUACGUGCCAGCAGCCGCGGUAAUACGGAGGGUGCAAGCGUUACUCGGAAUCACUGGGCGUAAAGAGCGCGUAGGCGGGAUAGCAAGUCAGAUGUGAAAUCCUAUGGCUUAACCAUAGAACUGCAUUUGAAACUGUUAUUCUAGAGUAUGGGAGAGGG
Molecule: ribosomal RNA, 305 nt
Filed under: uncultured bacterium
Lineage: Bacteria
Description: bacterial SSU rRNA
Rfam family: Bacterial small subunit ribosomal RNA
Source: RNAcentral